GACGAACGCUGGCGGCGUGCUUAACACAUGCAAGUCGAACGGAAAGGCCCUGCUUGCAGGGUGCUCGAGUGGCGAACGGGUGAGUAACACGUGGGUGAUCUGCCCCUUACUUUGGGAUAAGCCUGGGAAACUGGGUCUAAUACUGGAUUGGACCAUGCUGUAGGUGGUGUGGUGGAAAGAUUAGUUUCGGUAAGGGAUGAGCUCGCGGCCUAUCAGCUUGUUGGUGGGGUAAUGGCCUACCAAGGCGUCGACGGGUAGCCGGCCUGAGAGGGUGGACGGCCACAUUGGGACUGAGAUACGGCCCAGACUCCUACGGGAGGCAGCAGUGGGGAAUAUUGCACAAUGGGCGCAAGCCUGAUGCAGCGACGCCGCGUGGGGGAUGACGGCCUUCGGGUUGUAAACUCCUUUCAGCCAUGACGAAGCCCUUGUGGUGACGGUAGUGGUAGAAGAAGCACCGGCUAACUACGUG
Molecule: ribosomal RNA, 469 nt
Filed under: uncultured bacterium
Lineage: Bacteria
Description: partial 16S ribosomal RNA
Rfam family: Bacterial small subunit ribosomal RNA
Source: RNAcentral